GUUAUCACCAGGUGUCAGUGUCACCCAAUAUGGCUGCACCCUUGAAGCCGUGGGAGAGAGCUGGUGUUAACAGUCAAAAUCCAGGCCCCGCUCCCGUCAACAGCAUGUCUGGGGGUACACCUGCACCAUGCUGUGUUCAGGGCACAACCAGUGCACCACCACCAGUUCCAACUCGUCCUUCUCAGAAUACAUUUGGAGCCCGUCCAUAUGCAGGAGGGUAUGGUAUGGGAAGUUCACUAGGUUACAGCCCUUAUUCCUCCUAUGGUGGUGGUAUGUAUAACAGCCCUUAUAGCUCCUAUGGCAGCUAUGGGUAUGGUGGUUAUGGAGGAGGAUACAAUAGAUUCGGUGGAAACCAGGAUUCAAUGGGAACAUUUGCCCGCCAAGCAGAGGAGAAUUCUCGGCCAGCCUUCCAGGCUAUUGAGAAUGUUGUGAGUGCAGUGACUUCUGUAGGAAUGAUGAUGGACUCGACCUUCCAGGCAGUGUAUAAUUCAUUCCGGGCUGUGAUCGGUGUGGCUGACAACAUGUCCAGACUGAGGAGUCAGCUUGUUUCUGUGAUAUCUGCUUUAGCUUUCAUUCGGACCCUUAAAUACAUCUACAGGCGCUUCUUGGAACUGCUGCGAUUGCGACCACCAGGUCAUGCAGCCCAGGCCUGGAAUGAUGCUGUCUCCCAGGCUGCAGCCAAACUGGCCCCUGGGGAACCCACACCCAAGAACAGUGCCUGGCCCAUUUUCAUGUUCUUUGGCAUCAUCCUUGGAGGUCCCUGGCUUAUCUGGAAAAUCCUCAGGUCCUUCUCAACUGGCAUUGAUGAGACCAACAGCUGGGCAAACGGGGACGAGGAUCACUUUGUUGCCCGAGCUGAGUAUGACUUCCGUGCAAGCAACAACAAUGAACUAUCCUUCACUGCCGGACAGAUGAUCAACAUUGCUCCUAAAGAGAUGCAGCCCAAGGUACGAGGGUGGCUACUUGGAUCUGUGGAUGGAAGCAAUACAGGGCUGUUGCCAGCAAACUAUUUGAAAGUGCUGGGAAAGAGAAGAGGAAAGAAAUACCAGACUCCGUCUCCCGAGGGCGUUCCAGCCCCAGCAGCCACCAUCACCCCAUCACAAAGUUCUUUCUCUCUCACUGAGCCCACCCCAAGCUCCACAACCAUGAACUCUGUGCCUGAAAGUGACCUUGACACUGUCUUCAAUGAGGGGACAUCUGCAGAGCUGGAUGCAUCUGACAUUUUAGACAAAUGUGCUUCCCAGGACAAUGACCCUGAGUGUCCUUCUGUGUCUCAGACUGUGCCUACAAAGGACUGCUGUGCUGGCAAGUCAACGUGAGGGUCGGUAAUGGAUUGUUUGUGAUUUUAUUUGUACAUGCGCGAAUCUGUGAGAUUUCUUAAUGUUGUCAAUUAUUACUUUGUACAUAUUAAUAAUAAUCCUUGGUAAGUACUUGUUAUUUCUUAUUAAAACAAAAUGGAGGGCUUUUCAGUUUAUCACCAUGCAUAUACGACAAAUUUGUUUCUCACUUUUUGCUUAUUUGCUGGAAACUUUAGCUGUGUCAUGUUGGCUGUCUUCAUAUGACUUCAGUAACAUUUUAUGCUCACCUGGAUUAAAGUCAGGUGAGUUUGUGUUAUCUAUGUCUGCCCAUUUUUAACUUUCUGCUGUGAAAAAUACAAGACCUCAUGAGCUAAAACUUUAAGAAAUAACAGCUAUGAUGUUGAUACAAAGUGCAUGAUGGCCUCAGAGAAAAUGUCAUUUCUGGCCAUCUCUCAGCCUUUUCUGCUUGAAAAAAAACAUAUAAGAUUUUUUGUCAUAGUUUGAUUUUCCUAAUUACCUAACAGCAUUUAACUUUCACGCGCCAAGUUUUGUAGUCUGACAUUUGUCUUACCUUAUACUACAAAGGCAAGAGGAAACUUUGUACGAAUGAUUCCAGAUAUGGAAUAUCUGCAUAUUUUCUCAUUUGAUUCUGAUGUAAUAUGGCCACCAUGGCCACUAUAGACUAUGAGUCAGCCAUCCUUUUUCAAAUAGGUGUUAAAUUUGGUGUGUCUAGUUAGGCAAAACAUACAUGUUCCCUGUAUAUGAAUUUUGAUCCAGAUUCAUCCUUUAAAGCGUAAUAGCCUGUGUCACCGAAGUGAAAAUGCUGUUGUACGACAUUUGGAAACCUUAUCUUUAACCCCAACCAUGCACUUGCCUACCAAUGAGUACCAUCAUGUUAUCUGCAUAUAUUGGGGAGCAAUGGCAAAAAGUAGGUUUCUGCAUGAUGUCUGAAUAAUAAUCAUCAGAUAUUGAACAUUGGAAGAGGCUUGAAGUAUCAAUCGGAUGGUCCAGACACAUAUGAUAAUCCUUCAAUAGUAUAUAUAUAUAGCAGGAAAUAGUGAAGCAAGCUCAAGCAGGCACAAUGUGUUCACAGAUAGCUGGUCAGCAAUUUUGCCAGAUUUACUGGUGUGUUGGUUACCCCAGGGCUUGUCAUAGCCGAAACAGCCAUUGCUUCAGUUGUGGAGGCAUGGGCUAUUGUCCCGCAGUAUCUCAAAGAAUGGCCUUUCCAGCCUCUACUCUUGAUAACCUUGACACUGACUGUAUUGCUUUCUUAAUAUUUGAAAAAUCAAAUGAAACUAAAAAAAGUUGAAAUUUUGAUCUUCAGGAUUACUUUGCGCGCAGGUCUCAAACUUUGUGUAGAAGAUCCAAUUGUAUUCAUGGUAUCAUUUUUCUAACGUGUAAUGCACAAAAACCUUUUGUUUCAUUUUACCUGAAUCUUUCAGGGUAUUGUAACUUGAUGCUGAUAUGUGUACCAGAAUGUUUGUCAUAAGUCAAGUGAGCUACAGAACCUGGGGUCUCAAUUUCUAUAGAUCAUUUUGAUCAUCCGGAGCAUUUUGAAGCAGUAAUCUGGGUUUUAUGCACAAACUAAUCAUAUAUGUUGGUAUCAAAAGUGUUUCACUAUUCAGGUCAACAACAUCUACUCCAGACACUGAUUCAAUUUGCUAUCCAGUACACAGGCUGCAUGUAUAUUAAAAUUGUGUUGGAUAAAUCAUGUGCCAUCUUGUGUUGCAUAUAAAUAAAAAAAUAUGUUUGAUAUAUCACAUUUUCCCUUUUGUAUUGAGACUAAUUUGACGUAUGCAAUUAUAUAAUAUACUGUUUCAAUGCAAUUCUGAGGUAAAAUUGAUGUAACUUUGAUGUACAAAUGGAUCCUUCAUGUGGACAUUCUCAGUGUCUUGCUGUGUUUCAUCAUGCACCAGUUGUGUGGAUCACAUCUAAAUCCUUCAGUUACAGUGGCGGUGGGGUAGCCUAGUGGUUAUAGCGUUCGCUCUUCACCGGAAGACCCGGGUUCGAUUCCCCACAUGGGUACAACUUGUGAAGCCCAUUUCUGGUGUUCCCCGCCAUGAUGUUGCUGGAAUAUUACUAAAAACGGCAUAAAUCCAAACUCAGUCAGUCAGGUUUGGCUAGGCAUGACUAUAUUAUGUGGCAGUUUUAAGAUAACAGUCAACAAGCACUUUUAGAAAAGUAUGUUUGCCUAAUCUGUGAUGCUGUGCAGUAAGCACUCAGUAAUGACAUUAAAAUGAACCUGAAAAUAUUUUUCUUGUUUCCUACUGGCUCGUUAUCAUUUUUGCUAUUUUUUAUGGGUUUACAACAAUACCACCCCAGUAUUGUUGACUUCAUACUACUAAAAUAAUGUGUUGAGUGUCACCCUAGUUAACAAAUCAUUAUGUGCUUCUGAAAACAGACAUACCUGCAUACUGAAAAUUACGGUCCUUAUAAAACAUCAACACAAAAUAAGAAUCCUACCUUACCUAAUUUUUGCUUCUACUGAAAGCGUUUUGGGAGUUUAGUGUUUGUUUGUGUAUAUUUAUUUCGGUGGGUAGGGGUGUCGGUUAAGGAGGAACAGGAGGAACAUCCACCAAAAACAUGAGGUAUGGUUUGUUGGAGAUGUUAUCAGGUGUGUGUGGAAGUGAGAUGUGUAAAAUCUGUAUGUACAUCAAUCACCAAGAAUUGUACAUGGGUCUGAGCAAGGUAGCUGUUUAAAAACAAUUAUGAUUUUAUCAUUGUAUAAGAUGUUAUAGAUCAACUCAUUUUUCAGGAAAUAAAAACUCUAUAUGUUAGA
This 4077-nucleotide unclassified non-coding RNA is filed under the name Haliotis rubra (blacklip abalone). RNAcentral's name for it is "peroxisomal membrane protein PEX13-like, transcript variant X1". The record is from RNAcentral. Lineage: Eukaryota; Metazoa; Mollusca; Gastropoda; Lepetellida; Haliotidae.